UAAAAGGCUAGAGAAUUCUUCUAAACAUUCAAAUAUGGUUACCAUUAGAGUGUACUGCAUAUUCAGAUAGUUUCAACUAUCAUGUUAAAAGCUCUCUGGAUGUAUUUUUUCCCUAUAACAUUAAAGCUUGUCAAACUUUUUCACAAUUUCUGUUUCUUCCAGGAACAGGACACACUGGCACAUCCUUUUCCCACCAAACCACAGAAAAACAUUUUUAAGUGAAGGUUGAAGAAAUGGAAAUUUACAGAUGCCAGAAGAAAGGAUAAAAAUCAAGGCAAGAUAAGAAAAAAGGAGGCUGAUGUUCUGCUGGUCCACUUGGUUUACUGGCUUCUCUGUCUGAUUGUGCCUAACUCUGACACUUGUGCCUUCCCUCUAGACACUGUAGAUGAUGUUUAGUCCUAGCUCAAUCAGUCUCUCCCUUUGCACAUUCUGUUACAACCCUGCUCACGUGCUCAAGAUAUUGCUCCUGCUACUCUCCCCUCUCUUCUGCAUCAACAGUUCUUUCUCAUCUACUGGACAAUUCCCAUCAGCCUACUAUCAUACACGAAUACCCCCACCUUUAAAAACCCCUCCCUUGGUCCCACACUGGUCUUCAGAUUCCAUCCCAUUUUUUGCUCCCCUUGACAGCAAAAACCUCCAAAGAGUAUCUGUACUUAGUGUAUUUUCUCUUCACCCAUCAGCAAAAUUUGACUUCGUUACCAUCUCCUCCUGGAAACAGCUUCUUCACCUGGCAUCCAAGUACCUCUCUAUUCUCCUACCUCAUCAAGAACUUCUUCUGCUUUGCUGAUUCUUCAUCCCCUUGAUAUCUAAACAUAGCAAUGUCCCAAGGCUCAGUUCUCAGGUCCACCAAGCACUCUCCCACUUCACAGCCCUUGUAUUUGCAGCCCUUUCUGCCUGUAAGCUCUCUCAACCCUCUUAUCCUCCUGACCCCAGGUCUCUUCAAAUAUUUACCAUCUCAGUUUUCUUUCUUAAUCUCUCUAUAUAAAAAACUACAUCAAAAUCUUUUUCCCUUAUCUUGCUUUAUUUUUUCUCCAUAGCAUUUAGCACCAGCUGAUAUAUUACCAUGUUUAUUUGUUUGCUGUUUGUCCUACUAGAAUGCUAGUUUUUUGAAGGCAAGGGCUCUGUCUGCUUGGUUCCUGCUGUUGGCCACUUCGUAACCCAGAUUCUGGCACAUAACAGACCCUUGCUACAUAUUUGUUGAAUAGCUGAACUCUUAGACACAAUAUCCUAAGACUUUGAUAGAGAUCUUACUUCUGAUAGAUUGUUCUUUCCUGCAACAAUACUGAUUCCUGUAUAAAUCUGGGGAAGGAAGAAAAGGUGACUGAUCACUUUUUACCUCUCAUCUUUUGCCAAGGUAAGGUUUUUUGUGGUUGUUAAAUCUGAAUAUAAUUAAAUUAAAAACUCUGGAUACCCGA
RNAcentral lists this non-coding RNA (1415 nucleotides) under Pan troglodytes (chimpanzee). The record is from RNAcentral. Lineage: Eukaryota; Metazoa; Chordata; Mammalia; Primates; Hominidae.